RNAcentral lists this long non-coding RNA (3453 nucleotides) under Helianthus annuus (common sunflower). RNAcentral's name for it is "hypothetical non coding rna". The record is from RNAcentral. Lineage: Eukaryota; Viridiplantae; Streptophyta; Magnoliopsida; Asterales; Asteraceae.
GGUGUGUGCUACAAUCGAACAGGAGAAAGGAAAAAGGGGGUGUGAACCCUAAACCUCAAGAAAUCAUCAAAUUGAAAAGGGAAUCAAGGGCUGAUUGUAUGCAUGAACCAAGGAUGGUGAUCCCUUAAACAUUUCUAACAUCAACGUAGGAGCCAUGUCAACAUGGACACGAGCAUGGAAGGGCAAUGGGUCAACGGUAAAUACGGAAGCUAUGCAUGAACUCGGACGCACGAGGUACAUGAACACCGGGUUCAUGAAGUAUUGAAGUCGAAUUUGGAACAAGAAAAUACGAAAGGAUAGUUGAAUGAAUUAAAGUUCCUACUGUUAAAUGUUAUUCAAUAUUGGACUAUAUGAGAAUCAUGUCGUAUGAUAUUGUUAAUGACUAAUGGUUAUGAUGUAUGCGAUGUCCACAGGUAUUGCACGGAUUACCGCUACUACUACCGAAGAUAAGCAAGCGUUGAUCGAGUCACGGAGCAAGGGUUGUACGGAAAUAUGUAUUGUCUUGAAGCGUUAAUUUAAUGUGGUUAUUGUAAAUCCCUUUUGUAAAUGUUUAUCAUUUGUAUUUGAGCCUUCAAGUAAGUAAUGUGUCUAAAUAAGAAAGAAAUUUUUGGGCUCGUAUUUUUCCGCUGUGUCAUAUUUAAGUUCUUACAAGUUGGUCUUACAGGGAAUCGUUCAUUAUACGAACGGGUCAUGCCCGAAUUUUGUAAAUAAUAAUACUUAUUUUGGAGUAAGAAAUAUGGGCGUUACAAGUUGGUAUCAGAGCACUGGUUUGAGGGAAAUCAAGUAGAUGGAGGUAAAUACUUGAACUCAAACCCGUGUGCUCUUGUGUCAAGGAACCCGUACAAUCCAAGACUCGAUCAAGGCCUAAGGUUAAAAGCGAAUGUAAGUAUGUAUUAAAUUAUGUAUUUAAAGGAAACUAAUAGUAUGUUAUGUGAAGGGUAAGCGGAAUUGCUUGGAAGGGAUGAUAUGUGAAUGUGGUUUAGGACCGAUACCAAUGCAUGUAAUAAGACAUAUUGACCCAGGUCAAAAGGAGAUUGCCAUUUGCACCCGGUGUUCAACAAAGUAAGUUGAUAGUUAUUAAGCAAGUAAUAGUAAAAUAGCAUGAAAUAGUUGAUUCGCCAAGUAGAUAAACCGAUAAAAAAAAUAUUGUAGUAGCAAGAAACUUUAGCCGAAAGAAAUAAGCUUUGAAAUAAGUUAUGUGUAAGACAUAUUAUAAAUUGACUCUUGGGAGUCGGGAUGAAUGAAGGCUACGACUUAGAGAAAUGAUUUAAGUAGGGACAGGAAGGGGUAAAAUCUUGCAAUUAAUAUUAAAAUGAUUAAAUAAAGUCUUUGUAAGUAAGCAAGAAUGGAAAGGAAUUCUGAACGUGUACUUUGAUACGUCUAUGAUAAGUAAGAAGUACCGGUUUGACUUUGAAAAGUCAAACUACAAAAGUUGACAAAUGAGCUAAAGAUCUGCGAAGGAAUGGUUAUAUAUUGACCUGUCAUGAACGGGUCAAACAACGAAAGAGAUAUGUUAUAAAAUGGUCAUGUAUUGGCCCGUUAUGAACGGGUCAAACGCACUAAUGUUUUAAAAGGAAUCGAGAAAGAAUUAAUAUGCAAAUAAGGUGGUGUAAUGAACAUCACGUCUGAAUGAAAUAUGUAAAACCCUAAUCUUAUAAUGAGAGUGGCAGGAAUCAGGAGGUGAUAAACCUAGCAAGGUCAGUGAAAGAAUGCUCAUGAGCGAAAGCUCAUCACACGGAUGAAAGAGGUCAAUCCGGAAAAUGGUACAAAUGGUAAUGAAGAAGACCGGUUCGCUCUUACAUGCCUAAGCACUGCGCCAAAGUAGUAAGUUUAGGGAAUUAUUAAUAUGUGAAUGUAAAAUUAUAACUAUGGUUGAAAAGUACUUCCGUACAAAAUUAUGUGGCACAGAAUGUGUUAUGAAAAGGAAGGCUUGGCUUUUAGAAGUUAAUUAAGAUUAAGUUUCAGUUCAGGCUUAUGUAGUAAGUAGUGCGAAUGAGUAAGGAGGUAGAAAUAGAACUCCAGGGAUAAGUGAAACUAUUAAAACUAAUGCUAACAGUGAAAUGUAUUAGCAAGUUCAUAUGAAAUUCAAAUUGUUGUAAUGUAAAUUAUGAUAUUAGACUCAUUAGGUCGCUACUAGUCUGCACACACUAGUUUAAGUACGGUAAUGUAACGAGUUGAAAAUUUAAGAAGAAAUUGAUAAAGAAUGGAAUUGUAAAGUAUGAGUAGUUAACCGGUUACGAACGGGUCAAUGUGACGAAGAAAGCAUAAUGAAGAAAUUGCAAAAGUAGUGACUCGUUGUAAUAGGUCGCAGGAGAUGAAAACUAUGAUAAUGAAAAAAAAUGUAAGUAUUGACCCGUUAUAGAUGGGUCAAUUAAGACAAGCAUGACGGGCUAUGAUAAUGGUCAAAACCUUGAUCCGUUAUGAACAGGUCGGAUGUACUAUAUGUUUGAUGUUUAAGGAAUGUUACGUACAAAUCUAGGUAGAUUGAUUUGUAGAAAGAAAUGGAGAAAGGACCUUCUAGAAAUGAGGAUCUUAAAGUUAUGACCUUACUAAUGGAUAAACUAAUAGUGAUGAAGUGGGUUUCGGGGACGAAACCUUCUUGAAGGGGGGUAGAUUUGUAACACCCCAAAACUCAAAUUAUUAAAUUCAUUAGUAGGUUACCAUGUGUAAUUAAAUGAAAUACAAUAACUAAGUUAUUAUACUUAGUUAAAUGCCUAAUAAUAAGUAAGGGAAUGAAAUUGGUGGCAAUUAUGAUGGUGUGAUAAACUUAAGGGACUAAGGUUGCCAAAAUAGAAACUGAAUUUAAUUAAAACAAAAUUAAAUCACACACAAACACACACAAGGUGUGUGCUACAAUCGAACAGGAGAAAGGAAAAAGGGGGUGUGAACCCUAAACCUCAAGAAAUCAUCAAAUUGAAAAGGGAAUCAAGGGCUGAUUGUAUACAUGAACCAAGGAUGGUGAUCCCUUAAACAUUUCUAACAUCAACGUAGGAGCCAUGUCAACAUGGACACGAGCAUGGAAGGGCAAUGGGUCAACGGUAAAUACGGAAGCUAUGCAUGAACUCAGACGCACGAGGUACAUGAACACCGGGUUCAUGAAGUAUUGAAGUCGAAUUUGGAACAAGAAAAUACGAAAGGAUAGUUGAAUGAAUUAAAGUUCCUACUGUUAAAUGUUAUUCAAUAUUGGACUAUAUGAGAAUCAUGUCGUAUGAUAUUGUUAAUGACUAAUGGUUAUGAUGUAUGCGAUGUCCACAGGUAUUGCACGGAUUACCGCUACUACUACCGAAGAUAAGCAAGCGUUGAUCGAGUCACGGAGCAAGGGUUGUACGGAAAUAUGUAUUGUCUUGAAGCGUUAAUUUAAUGUGGUUAUUGUAAAUCCCUUUUGUAAAUGUUUAUCAUUUGUAUUUGAGCCUUCAAGUAAGUAAUGUGUCUAAAUAAGAAAGAAAUUUUUGG